This is a non-coding RNA of Aedes aegypti (yellow fever mosquito), 74 nucleotides long. The record is from Rfam. Lineage: Eukaryota; Metazoa; Arthropoda; Insecta; Diptera; Culicidae.
UGUUCUGUAGCUUAGUUGGUUAAAGUGCCGGUCUAGCGUACACGGAGUCGUGAGUUCGAGUCUCACUAGAACGC